GGGCCUAUAGCUCAGUUGGUUAGAGCAAUCGCUUGAUAAGCGAUAGGUCGGUGGUUCGAGUCCACCUAGGCCCACCA
RNAcentral lists this transfer RNA (77 nucleotides) under Acidobacteriota bacterium. RNAcentral's name for it is "tRNA-Ile". It matches the Rfam family "tRNA". Rfam says of the family: Transfer RNA (tRNA) molecules are approximately 80 nucleotides in length. Their secondary structure includes four short double-helical elements and three loops (D, anti-codon, and T loops). Further hydrogen bonds mediate the characteristic L-shaped molecular structure. tRNAs have two regions of fundamental functional importance: the anti-codon, which is responsible for specific mRNA codon recognition, and the 3' end, to which the tRNAs corresponding amino acid is attached (by aminoacyl-tRNA synthetases). tRNAs cope with the degeneracy of the genetic code in two manners: having more than one tRNA (with a specific anti-codon) for a particular amino acid; and 'wobble' base-pairing, i.e. permitting non-standard base-pairing at the 3rd anti-codon position. Lineage: Bacteria; Pseudomonadati; Acidobacteriota. The record is from RNAcentral. RNAcentral also lists the same sequence under 1 other name.